GGGGGAUAUUGCACAAUGGAGGAAACUCUGAUGCAGCAACGCCGCGUGAGGGAAGACGGUUUUCGGAUUGUAAACCUCUGUCCUUGGUGACGAAAAAAAUGACGGUAGCCAAGGAGGAAGCUCCGGCUAACUACGUGCCAGCAGCCGCGGUAAUACGUAGGGAGCGAGCGUUGUCCGGAUUUACUGGGUGUAAAGGGUGCGUAGGCGGCUCUGCAAGUCAGGCGUGAAAUACAUGGGCUUAACUCAUGGACUGCGUUUGAAACUGUGGAGCUUGAGUGAAGUAGAGGUAGGCGGAAUUCCCGGUGUAGCGGUGAAAUGCGUAGAGAUCGGGAGGAACACCAGUGGCGAAGGCGGCCUACUGGGCUUUAACUGACGCUGAGGCACGAAAGCAUGGGUAGCAAAC
This 403-nucleotide ribosomal RNA is filed under the name uncultured bacterium. RNAcentral describes it as "bacterial SSU rRNA". It matches the Rfam family "Bacterial small subunit ribosomal RNA", at positions 356 to 773 of the family's 1533-position model. The record is from RNAcentral.